This 459-nucleotide ribosomal RNA is filed under the name uncultured bacterium. Its description in RNAcentral is "partial 16S ribosomal RNA". It matches the Rfam family "Bacterial small subunit ribosomal RNA", at positions 338 to 795 of the family's 1533-position model. The record is from RNAcentral.
CCUACGGGAGGCAGCAGUGAGGAAUAUUGGUCUAUGGGCCGGAGCCUGAACCAGCGAAGCCGCGUGAGGGAAGAAGGUACAUCGUAUCGUAAACCUCUUUUGUCAGGGAACAAAGGCGGGGACUAGUCCCCUUCUGAGGCUACCUGAAGAAAAAGCAUCGGCUAACUCCGUGCCAGCAGCCGCGGUAAUACUGAGGAUGCGAGCGUUGUCCGGAUUUAUUGGGUUUAAGGGGUGCGCAGGCGGCCUGUUAAGUCAGCGGUAAAAGCACGGGGCUCAACCCCGGCGAGCCGUUGAAACUGGCGGGCUGGAGUUGGAGAGAAGUAUGCGGAAUGCGCGGUGUAGCGGUGAAAUGCUUAGAUAUCGCGCAGAACCCCGAUUGCGAAGGCAGCGUACCGGCUCCACACUGACGCUGAGGCACGAAAGCGUGGGUAUCGAACAGGAUUAGAUACCCUUGUAGUC